This 363-nucleotide transfer RNA is filed under the name uncultured Microcystis sp. Its description in RNAcentral is "partial 16S-23S ribosomal RNA intergenic spacer". The stretch from base 135 to 208 matches the Rfam family "tRNA". Lineage: Bacteria; Bacillati; Cyanobacteriota; Cyanophyceae; Chroococcales; Microcystaceae. The record is from RNAcentral.
AAGGGAGACCUAAUUCAGGUAGGAGACGAAAAAAAAGUAGUCGCUACCAAGAAUCAAUCCCAAAAGGUCGGAGCGAGGCGAAAUUGGCUUUCAAACUAGGUUCUGGGUUCACACAAGACCUGAAUCAGGAACAAGGGCUAUUAGCUCAGGUGGUUAGAGCGCACCCCUGAUAAGGGUGAGGUCCCUGGUUCGAGUCCAGGAUGGCCCACCUGUACAGGUGGCAAAAAGAAAGAAAAGAAGCGAGGAAUCAGCACCUUAUCUUACUGACAUAGUAAGAGAGAAUGCUGGCUCUGAGUAAAGAGUCCAGAGGAACCUUGAAAACUGCAUAGAGCUAGGUGAAAAAGCCAAAAAAGAAAACCGCAA